UCUCUGAUAGUAUAUCGGUCAGUACACGCGCCUGUCAGGUGAACUAGGAUAUAGUCUACUGCGCGCUAAAGCUGGGUUCGACUCCUAGUCAGAGAG
Molecule: non-coding RNA, 96 nt
Organism: Mucidula mucida
Lineage: Eukaryota; Fungi; Basidiomycota; Agaricomycetes; Agaricales; Physalacriaceae
Source: the annotation of a GenBank genome assembly